GCGCCCGUGGCGCAAUGGAUAGCGUACUUGGUUCCGAUCCAAGGGGUUGCAGGUUCGAUCCCUGCCGGGCGCGCCA
This 76-nucleotide transfer RNA is filed under the name Erysipelothrix sp. RNAcentral describes it as "tRNA-Arg". It matches the Rfam family "tRNA". From Rfam's summary of the family: Transfer RNA (tRNA) molecules are approximately 80 nucleotides in length. Their secondary structure includes four short double-helical elements and three loops (D, anti-codon, and T loops). Lineage: Bacteria; Bacillati; Bacillota; Erysipelotrichia; Erysipelotrichales; Erysipelotrichaceae. The record is from RNAcentral.